CGCUAGCAAUAAUAACUCGA
Molecule: microRNA, 20 nt
Filed under: Ananas comosus (pineapple)
Lineage: Eukaryota; Viridiplantae; Streptophyta; Magnoliopsida; Poales; Bromeliaceae
Description: microRNA s0972_c124a
Source: RNAcentral